UUGACCUCGGAUCAGUAGAUC
RNAcentral lists this ribosomal RNA (21 nucleotides) under Penicillium melinii. RNAcentral's name for it is "partial 28S ribosomal RNA". The record is from RNAcentral. Lineage: Eukaryota; Fungi; Ascomycota; Eurotiomycetes; Eurotiales; Aspergillaceae.